Molecule: signal recognition particle RNA, 97 nt
Filed under: Hyphomicrobiales bacterium
Lineage: Bacteria; Pseudomonadati; Pseudomonadota; Alphaproteobacteria; Hyphomicrobiales
Description: signal recognition particle sRNA small type
Rfam family: Bacterial small signal recognition particle RNA
About the family: The signal recognition particle (SRP) is a universally conserved ribonucleoprotein involved in the co-translational targeting of proteins to membranes.
Source: RNAcentral
GGGGGUUGGCGGCGGACGUGCCGCUCGCCAACCGGGUCAGGUCCGGAAGGAAGCAGCCCUAACGAGAUUGGCCCGGGUUGCCCGUCCAGCCUCCCGC